CACACCUGCAAUCUGACCCCUGACUGUGAAGCCACCGAAAGGAGACUCAUGCAGGUGAAUCCCUGGGUGAUGCUCUUCUGUCUGGACAUCUGGUAGCUGCUGAAAACAAUAGCUAUCAACUCAAAGAGUUUUAUCCAAAACAACUGAUGUAGAAGCUGCAGUUUGCCUCCACCUCUGAAGAAGCACAAUACACCUUUCUGGGUUACCAAUGGGAUACUUCCCAACAGCUUUGUCAUCACAUACAAUAUUCUCAAACAAGAUCUUAAUGGCAUCUACUUUCUCCAGGAACACAGCCCCUGACCUGUGUGUGUUUGCGUAGAGAAGGCAUGCUAUGUACCCCCUAGGAUAUCAAGAUUCCUGUAGCAGAUUGAGCUCUGGCAGUUGAUCUCAGUGGCUUGAUAGAGUGUCAUUAUAAAAACGCACCUGGAAGAUUCUGUGGAAAAGACAACCUCAGAAGACCAAGAGGCUGACUUUGCAAGAGAGAGUCCGUUUACCACUUAGAACCGUGAACACCACCCCCGCCCUCAUUUAUCUCCAGACUUGAACUAGUGGUUAAAUCCCAACAUGUCCCAGAGAAGUCAAAAGCAUUGUAAAAUCUGGGAAUCUGCCCACCACUCAAGCCUGGGAAAGCUGGCAGAGGAUGCACGUGUUUUACUCACCUGAGUGUUUACAAUGCUCGUGAGGUGCCUCCCUGAUAUUUUUAUAGCAGAAUGGAGAAACACAACCAAGGAGAUACACCUAAGUAACAACAGCAAUGAUGUCAAAAAGAGUGCCUGAAUACUUAGGGUGGAGGUCCUGGACAUGCAAACCCAAGCUUCCUCUUUGCUGUGGCCAGGAAUCUGCAGUGAUUGAGAGCACAGACUGUAUCUAAAAUUCCACCUUUCAAAGUUCAGCAUAUUACUUUUUUUUUUCUUACACCUAUAAGUACAGAGGAAUGAAGAAGGAAUAAACAGACCUUCUGGAUAAUUGCAUCAGCCUUCCCCACUAUUCCAAUGCCAUGCUAACAUUUCAAGUAAUGUCCCUUUUGUCUUGCUGAGAAAAAAUCAUUUCAUGAUUUAUUACACUGGAUUAAAGGCUAUGCACACUCUGGAGUUGGAACAUGACUGAAGGGCAAGCAAGCAUAAAGGAUAUCAGAAACAGUUGAUGUGUUUAAAUUUUUCUGAAUUUCUCAAGUAAACUUUUUAGAAAGUAGUCUGAAGAUAAAAUGGUUAUAUAAGUUACUUAAACUGUAGAUGAUGGCACCUUUAUCCCUAUAUAAUAAAAUUAAGAUUUGUAGGUUAAACCUUGGAUAUUCCCAUCUGAGCAUCUGUACCAAACAGAAAAGACCUGUGUGAGUUCCUGAGAACCAGUGCUCAUUCCAGAAGAGACAGGUUUCUCUCCAGGAAGAAAUGUCUGAAAUUCAGUGAAUUAAAAUCCUCAUUGAGUCUUC
Molecule: long non-coding RNA, 1429 nt
Organism: Homo sapiens (human)
Lineage: Eukaryota; Metazoa; Chordata; Mammalia; Primates; Hominidae
Product: long intergenic non-protein coding RNA 616
Source: Ensembl